Molecule: transfer RNA, 67 nt
Filed under: Apodemus peninsulae (Korean field mouse)
Lineage: Eukaryota; Metazoa; Chordata; Mammalia; Rodentia; Muridae
Description: tRNA-Glu
Source: RNAcentral
UUCUAUAGUUGAAUUACAACGAUGAUUUUUCAUGUCAUUAGUCGCAGUUAAAUGCUGUGUGGAAAUA